RNAcentral lists this unclassified non-coding RNA (219 nucleotides) under uncultured Umbelopsis. Its description in RNAcentral is "sequence contains ITS2". Lineage: Eukaryota; Fungi; Mucoromycota; Umbelopsidomycetes; Umbelopsidales; Umbelopsidaceae. The record is from RNAcentral.
ACACCUCACUACUAUAACUUUAUUGUUAUGAUAGUGGAUUUGGAAUGCGCUGGUGUUAGUCAGCCCUUCUAAAAUGGAGUUCUUGCACUGUUGAUUUGUUUUAACAGCAACGUUGGCCUAAUAAGUUUCAGCAGCAAUGUUGAAAUCACUGGCUUUUUUGCUUAGAAUCUGACAGUCUUGAUAUACAGAAUUUUUGAGGUGACUUGUCUCCUCUUCAAA